RNAcentral lists this ribosomal RNA (468 nucleotides) under uncultured bacterium. RNAcentral's name for it is "partial 16S ribosomal RNA". It matches the Rfam family "Bacterial small subunit ribosomal RNA", at positions 28 to 507 of the family's 1533-position model. The record is from RNAcentral.
GACGAACGCUGGCGGCGUGCUUAACACAUGCAAGUCGAACGGAAAGGCCCUGCUGUUGUGGGGUGCUCGAGUGGCGAACGGGUGAGUAACACGUGAGUAACCUGCCCUUGAAUUUGGGAUAACUUCAGGAAACUGGGGCUAAUACCGGAUAGGAGCUCCUGCUGCAUGGUGGGGGUUGGAAAGUUUCGGCGGUUGGGGAUGGACUCGCGGCUUAUUAGCUUGUUGGUGGGGUAGUGGCUUACCAAGGCUUUGACGGGUAGCCGGCCUGAGAGGGUGACCGGCCACAUGGGGACUGAGAUACGGACCAGACUGCUACGGGAGGCAGCAGUGGAGAAUAUUGCACAAUGGGCGGAAGUCUGAUGCAGCAACGCCGCGUGCGGGAUGACGGGCUUCGGGUUGUAAACCGCUUUCGCCUGUGACGAGGCGUGAGUGACGGUAAUGGGUAAAGAAGCAACGGCUAACUACGUG